RNAcentral lists this ribosomal RNA (253 nucleotides) under uncultured bacterium. RNAcentral describes it as "partial 16S ribosomal RNA". It matches the Rfam family "Bacterial small subunit ribosomal RNA", at positions 524 to 776 of the family's 1533-position model. The record is from RNAcentral.
UACGAAGGGGACUAGCGUUGUUCGGAAUUACUGGGCGUAAAGCGCACGUAGGCGGAUUUGUUAGUCAGGGGUGAAAUCCCGGGGCUCAACCUCGGAAUUGCCUUUGAUACUGUCUGUCUUGAGUCCGGGAGAGGUGAGUGGAAUUCCUAGUGUAGAGGUGAAAUUCGUAGAUAUUAGGAAGAACACCAGUGGCGAAGGCGGCUCACUGGCCCGGUACUGACGCUCAUGUGCGAAAGCGUGGGGAGCAAACAGG